AAAAACUUGAGCGGGAGCUUUCCCGGUUCCUUAAAAAAAUAUCAUUAGAUUGUUCAUCCCCAAAAAUUAAAAGAACCCUACGCUGUUCCAUUGCGGUUCCUUCUGAGCUUCUUCACUCGCGAACUCCUCUGUUCAUCCUAAUUCCUCCAAUUGGUGAUCGUUUGUUCAGAUUAUCUGAGUGAGGUUUCUUGGACUGGAUUCAGGGCAUCAAUUUCAGGGAAAUUAGCAGCAAAUCAGAGAGAAGGAUGAACAAGUUUCCUUGAAGAAGAAGGAUAACAGACGAUUUCCAGGGGCUUAGCAGCGAGGCGACUCGUGAUUGGGCAAAACUAAUAGUAGCAAUGAUAUGUGGAGGAGAUCCUUACGUGAAGCUUGAGUUGGAAUGAUAUGGACUAACAUUGCGGGUUAUGACAUUUUCUACAAUGUGGAAGAACUACAAUAGUUAUGGUUUUUUUUAGCUUGUGAAACUUUUGACAUAUUCUCUAGACUUUUUUAUCGUAUUGAACCGUUAGCUAAGAUUUUAGAUACUUUUGUUAUUGGUACUUGUGUUUGGACAUCUAUGUACUUAUGAAUUAUGUUUUAUCACGAUAUUCGGAGUGAGUGGUAUAUGGUUUACAGGUAAA
Molecule: long non-coding RNA, 620 nt
Organism: Beta vulgaris subsp. vulgaris (sugar beet)
Lineage: Eukaryota; Viridiplantae; Streptophyta; Magnoliopsida; Caryophyllales; Amaranthaceae
Exons: 4
Source: RefSeq, a predicted model, not a curated record